Molecule: microRNA precursor, 197 nt
Filed under: Arachis hypogaea (peanut)
Lineage: Eukaryota; Viridiplantae; Streptophyta; Magnoliopsida; Fabales; Fabaceae
Description: miR159 stem-loop (ahy-MIR159)
Gene: ahy-MIR159
Rfam family: MIR159 microRNA precursor family
Source: miRBase by way of RNAcentral
AGUGGAGCUCCUUGAAGUCCAACAGAGGGUCUUGGUGGGUAGAUUGAGCUGCUAAGCUAUGGAUCCCACAGUACUACCCAUAUAUACCCCAUUAUGCAGUGGUAGUUCUGCGGAUUCCAUAUCCUGGGAGCUUCAUUACCUUUCCACAGAUCCUUAUUUGGAUUGAAGGGAGCUCUACAUAGCAUCCUCUUUCUAAU